Molecule: unclassified non-coding RNA, 267 nt
Filed under: plant metagenome
Description: partial contains small subunit ribosomal RNA, internal transcribed spacer 1, and 5.8S ribosomal RNA
Source: RNAcentral
UUUCCGUAGGUGAACCUGCGGAAGGAUCAUUAUCGUACAAAAUGUGAGGGGCAUGCGAGGGCUGUCGCUAACCCAAAAGUCAUGCACGCCCGAGUGUGUCCUCUUGCAUAAUUAUCCAUCUCACCCUUUGUGCAUCACCGCGUGGGCACCCUUCGGGAUCAUCUCGGAGGGGGGCCCGCGUUUUCACACAAACCCCCCUUUUAAAAGUGUAGAAUGACCACAUUUAUGCAAUCAAUACAACUUUCAACAACGGAUCUCUUGGCUCUC